This 28-nucleotide small RNA is filed under the name Bombyx mori (domestic silkworm). Its description in RNAcentral is "ovarian small RNA-5913". Lineage: Eukaryota; Metazoa; Arthropoda; Insecta; Lepidoptera; Bombycidae. The record is from RNAcentral.
UACAAUAAACUCAAAUCGACGCGCGCCA